RNAcentral lists this ribosomal RNA (536 nucleotides) under uncultured bacterium. RNAcentral's name for it is "bacterial SSU rRNA". It matches the Rfam family "Bacterial small subunit ribosomal RNA", at positions 355 to 905 of the family's 1533-position model. The record is from RNAcentral.
UGGGGAAUCUUGGACAAUGGGGGCAACCCUGAUCCAGCCAUGCCGCGUGAGUGAUGAAGGCCUUAGGGUCGUAAAGCUCUUUCGCCUGUGAAGAUAAUGACGGUAGCAGGUAAAGAAACCCCGGCUAACUCCGUGCCAGCAGCCGCGGUAAUACGGAGGGGGUUAGCGUUGUUCGGAAUUACUGGGCGUAAAGCGCACGUAGGCGGACCAGAAAGUUGGGGGUGAAAUCCCGGGGGCUCAACCCCGGAACUGCCUCCAAAACUAUUGGUCUAGAGUUCGAGAGAGGUGAGUGGGAAUUCCAAGUGUAGAGGUGAAAUUCGUAGAUAUUUGGAGGAACACCAGUGGCGAAGGCGGCUCACUGGCUCGAUACUGACGCUGAGGUGCGAAAGUGUGGGGAGCAAACAGGAUUAGAUACCCCUGGUAGUCCACACCGUAAAACGAUGAAUGCCAGUCGUCGGGUAGCAUGCUAUUCGGUGACACACCUAACGGAUUAAGCAUUCCGCCUGGGGAGUACGGUCGCAAGAUUAAAACUCAAA